GCCGGAGUGGUGGAAUUGGCAGACACGCACGACUCAAAAUCGUGUGCUCGAAAGGGCAUGGGAGUUCGACUCUCCCCUCCGGCA
RNAcentral lists this transfer RNA (84 nucleotides) under Candidatus Ryanbacteria bacterium RIFCSPHIGHO2_02_FULL_47_25. Its description in RNAcentral is "tRNA-Leu". It matches the Rfam family "tRNA". Rfam says of the family: Transfer RNA (tRNA) molecules are approximately 80 nucleotides in length. Their secondary structure includes four short double-helical elements and three loops (D, anti-codon, and T loops). Further hydrogen bonds mediate the characteristic L-shaped molecular structure. tRNAs have two regions of fundamental functional importance: the anti-codon, which is responsible for specific mRNA codon recognition, and the 3' end, to which the tRNAs corresponding amino acid is attached (by aminoacyl-tRNA synthetases). tRNAs cope with the degeneracy of the genetic code in two manners: having more than one tRNA (with a specific anti-codon) for a particular amino acid; and 'wobble' base-pairing, i.e. permitting non-standard base-pairing at the 3rd anti-codon position. The record is from RNAcentral. RNAcentral also lists the same sequence under 3 other names. Lineage: Bacteria; Candidatus Ryaniibacteriota.